CAAGACCUUGCGCUUUUGGAGCGGCCGAUGUCUGAUUAGCUAGUUGGUGAGGUAAAGGCUUACCAAGGCUUCGAUCAGUAGCUGGUCUGAGAGGACGACCAGCCACACUGGGACUGAGACACGGCCCAGACUCCUACGGGAGGCAGCAGUGGGGAAUUUUGGACAAUGGGGGAAACCCUGAUCCAGCCAUGCCGCGUGAGUGAAGAAGGCCUUCGGGUUGUAAAGCUCUUUCAGCCGGAACGAAAAGGUUACGGUUAAUACCCGUGACUAAUGACGGUACCGGAAGAAGAACCACCGGCUAACUACGUGCCAGCAGCCGCGGUAAUACGUAGGGUGCGAGCGUUAAUCGGAAUUACUGGGCGUAAAGCGUGCGCAGGCGGUUUUGUAAGUCAGAUGUGAAAUCCCCGGGCUCAACCUGGGAACU
Molecule: ribosomal RNA, 424 nt
Filed under: uncultured beta proteobacterium
Lineage: Bacteria; Pseudomonadati; Pseudomonadota; Betaproteobacteria
Description: bacterial SSU rRNA
Rfam family: Bacterial small subunit ribosomal RNA
Source: RNAcentral